AGCAGAACGGACGUGUUGCUCGGCGUUCCUCGCAAGAAUAUUAUAUUGCUUGCAAUCAGCCUCCACGACCAAAAUCGAUUUCUCUCGCGAGUUGUCGAGCGCCAUUGUCCCUUUUUCUUGCACGAAAGAAGCUUUACACCGAUCGACACCGGCUCGACAGAGCCGACAAACAAAGCGCACACAGUUUUACAGAAUGUAAUUCGAAGCGUCAAGGGAGACGAAAACCUGUAAUAACCAGCGGAAGAAAACGUUAUAAGGGUGCAACGUUAUUUACAACCCUUUCUUUCACUGCGAACUGCGGCGUACCGAUACGAGUACGACGAUACUCGCGCCAUCUGUCGUGGCGUUUUUCAUACGCGAUUUUUCGCGGAGAGAAAAGAAGAAAAAAGGGGGAAAGAAAAAGAAAGGAGACAGAAAACGUUUCUCUCUACAAAGGAGCAUCGUUAUUCUCCCUCCCUCCCCCUCCCGUUGUUUUGUUGCCUACGAAUUUUCCCAUCAGGCCCGUACAUUAUGUUUUUUUCCAUUGUGUUUUUGGCUCGACGGGAGUAUCGCGUGCCACAGCGGGAAAAUUUAUCGUUCUGUUCAACCGCGAACCGUUUAAUGCCGGAAAUUUAUCGACGAUGAUGAUCUUGUUUGCACGUCGAUAAAGUUGAUUUUUCGAUUAUACGAUCAACGUAUUUUCCUUUCUUUUUUUUUUUUUAUCGAUGGAUAAUUGAUCGGUCCAUUGAGGGGUUGAAAUGAUGGACAGGGAUGAUGUCGUUGCGUUUUUUUGAAAAAUUAUUCUGUAAACAAUCGUUUAUUUUUCGAAUAAAUUUAAAUGGACACAAAACAUAUUUAUAAAAUUUUACAAAAAACAAUCUAAAUCCCGGUGAAAAUAUUACGAUAUUUCAUUCUAGAACUGUUUAUCGUUGAUAUUAUAAUCCUAUCUAAUUUCCAUUUAAAAUAAUUAUAAACGGUAUAAGUGUUCCAUCGUAGGUAUUUAAUUCGCAUAUUUUGCAAUUUCCUCCAGUGAGUCACGAAGUCGAUCCCCGGGCGCGCAGACGAAAGUUUCAUAACGAUUAACCAGACGGUUAAAGUUGAAACUGCCUCUCGAGAGGCACACGAGUUUAUUAAGUAGAAGUCUGGCUUCAAGGCUAGGAGGAACGACACCGAAGAACGAGAAAUGGAUAUUCGUGAUGUUGGGAACGCGACAGAGGGAUCAAAAGGGUAACAAGAAGCGAUGGGAUAACUGAGCGGAGAAGGCGUGGGAUAGUGAAAAAAAAUGUGGAAAGAACGGGUGACAAUUCCUUGAAAUGUUUAAAAUACUGGAGGAUUUUUUUAGCAUAUUGUUCUAUUAAAAAUAUGGAAAGGAAUUUUGGAAAUAUUUAAAACAUUAGUUUUGUUUAACGAUAAGCGAUAUGCUAUAAAUAGAUUUACGACGAUUUUAUGACGACGAUAAUGAUUUCGUAAUCGAAUGAAAACAGAAUGAUGUCAUGCAAUCAUAAUCUUUACGACCGUUCUUUUAUCUAGUUGAUUCAUAACAUUCUUGGAUGAAUAAUCCAUUAGAGUGUCACCAACGUUUCAAACAAAAGCCAGCAAUACAUCAUACAAGUGCUUUAUUUCAAUGGGUAAAUCCCAUUGCGAGAUUGAAUGCUCGCAAACGAGAAAUUUACAGAAUAUUUCGACAAAUGAAAUAACACAGGGUAUUUAAUCCAACAAUUACAUCGUUAACACAAAGGAAAACGAUUACAUCUUUAUACCGAGGAAAUCUUAUUUCUCAGAGGAUAUAGAUACAUCUAUUAAAUCCCUUCGCAACGAGAUAGAAUAUGCAGAUAUCAUUCUUCCUCUUCCUGUAAUACUGGAAAACAAUUUUCCAAGGUGUAGAUAAGUGAAUGUAUAAAAAACAUUUAGGGAAGAAGAGGGAGUCAUAAAGUUUGUUGAAUGUUAUUUAUUUCCUUUCGAUCGAGCUAGGUAUCAUGGGAUAUACACAAAUAAAUUUUAAAUCAGUAGAGUUGUAACUGAAUCACGUAAGCCAUUAUAAAUUAAUUUAACCAGAACUGUUAACUAUAUAUAAUGUAUCUAUGUCUAUUUCCUGUUAAAAUUAAUUAUAUCUGUUUUUAAAAAUUCAAUUAAGCCAAAAGAAAAUUAUAUUUUUUCUAAAUUCGUCUAAAUUACCGUCAUAAAAAAAUUCCAUUCACUCCCAUGCUCAGAACUUGGAAAAUUAUAUUUCUAAUGAUCACAAUCUUUCAUUAACAAACUGAUUGUUAGAAUCAACCACACUGUCAAUAAUCAUUAUAGGAUCAACAGCGCAAAUUCAGGACAACAAUUCAUAUAUAAACUAGCAUUCAGAUCGACAAUAUGCACACAUGCAAGUAUUCUCAAAUUCUAUUUACUUUUCACAUUCAAACAGUUGCUCAAUAUUAAUUUGGCAAAUAACAUUUGCGAUUAGAAUCGUGUUUCAAUACAAUUAUACAAUGAUUUAUAACAUUGGAAAGAAAACAAUAUGAUUCGAUCGAUAUUAUAUAACAAAUACUAAAACAUUAUCAAGAGAAAGAAGUUCGAUUAAAAUGAACAAGAGGGCACUGCGUAUACAUAAAGGAGUAAAAUCAAAUAUGGCUGCUAGAAAAAUUUGGUAAAACAUUAAUAAAGAUCGAUCUUCAAGUAUAUAUCCGAUUAUGUAUGGCUGAUUUUGAUAAAAUUUAUGCACGAUAUACUUUCCAAUCAAAUAUUUGACAAGUGUUUCUUUUUAAUCCCAAAAUCUAUUUUGAAAGGGUGAAAACAAUUCUCCAAGUUACGAGGUGGAAACAUAUCUCAUGCAAUAUUAAAUUUAAGGAAGUAAUUCAAAUAUAACAAGUAGUUAUUUUAAAAGAAAAAAUAUUCAAAACAGAGAAUUUCUUUUUUAACAAACUCUUAAGGAUGUUUCUUUAUCAAUCUGUUAAAUUUAAUCCAUCUGAAACUACCAUUUUCGUUUAAUUAAAUUCUUUCCAUCAUACUUAUAUUUAAAAAUCUAACAAAUAUUCAUCUCCCAUCAUAUCCACUAUCAUAUUCGCCAAUCAAAUCGAUCGAUUUUUCAAUCUACUCGAAAUUUCUUUCGAUACAGCAACGUUUCGCAAACAAUCGAUCGAAAAAACAAUUUUCACCUGUAAACACGUGAGUGACGAUACAUCGUCACUAACCUAAUUCGCGAGUGUAAAACUCUUUAGGGGGACAGAGGCAGCGUGGUACAUAUUGUGUGUCGCGUUACGCGUUCAUAUGUGUUUGCCUUGUCGAGGAAGCAAUCAGUUCCAUCUACUGGCAACGUUUACAUGGAUCGUUUACAGCCCUCUUGUGUAGCUUUUGGCGUGCCGUAUUCCGAUACUCAUGCAGAUAUCCUACGAACGUUAUGUUAUAUAUACACAUAUGCGUGACUAUCGUUGCGAAUUUCAAGCCGCCGUUUCUACGUUGUUCUGUUUAGUCCAGCCUCAACUUAUCUCGAAGCUAUCGGUUAUGCUCAUGCUUCGCGUAUUGCGUAAUUAAUAGCAAUAUAUAAUCGAUUAUGUAAAAUAAAAAAGAGAAUGUGUUGCAAAUUAUAUAUAUUUAUAUCAAAUGAAAUAUUAAUUCUGAUUUCUUCAGAAUUAUUCAUAUUCAAUUUUUCAAUUAUUCAAUUUUUUUGAAAUAUUAUAACAUUUUAAAAAACGUUAAAGUUUUUCUUAAAGCAUCUUUCUUCUAUUCCUUGGAAUAAAAAUUCGAACGAAAUCACAGGAGGAGGAGAGGGGAUUAAAAUAGAUCGAAUCGAAGAAGAGAAGCGUGAUUAAAGAAGAAAAAUUGAAAGGAAUAAUUUGAUAUAUAUAUUCACUUUAAAACAAUCUUCCUUUUUUCCUCCCCAACGCGCGUCUCCGUGUGAAAAUGCGUUGGCGCGUGUUAAUAUUUAUAACCGUACUGUGAAAUCGGUGCCGCGCGCAAAUAUACAGCUGAUCUUGAAUUCUUUUGGCAAAAGUGCCCCAGGAGAAAUGCAAAUUUCACGUAGCGACCUCGGACACACUCGGCCAGAAUCGUGAACAACUCAAACUGAAACUCAAAUAUAUCUCGAAACAGAAAGCUGUUUUACACAUUGUACGAAACACGAAGCCGCAAGUUGCAGCCACAAUGAAAAUUUUCCUCAUGGAUUUUAUCCAUACGAAAUAGUCCACCAUUUGAUAGAAAAAAGGAAGAGGAAAGUAUAAAUUUGUUAACAAAUUUUUGAAUAAUUUAGAGUAUUCUAUUUCAAAAAGUAUCGCAACGUUAUUUGUAUUACUUACUCAAUAGAAUUUCAUCACAAAAUUGUUUGUUACUUUACCUGAAACAGAAAAAGAAAUUAAAAAUUAAAUAUAUAUUUACAAUAAUUCAUAGUAUCUUAAACUUCUUCACCGAUAAACAAAUAAAAUUCGUUUUUAAUCCAUCUAUUCUCCCCUUAAAACUGCAUAAUCAAUAUCAAACCUUCUAUAAGUGUAAUCCAGAAUUACACUAAAAAGAAUCACACAAUUUCAGCAUCUGUAUUAAAUAAUAUAUCUCAAAAUCGAAAGAGAGCGACACAAAUUUUCCAAUUACAUACAAAUACCGACAUCCAUUUAAUACACCGCGUUACAUUUUCCUCCGAGUUCCGUCAGAAGAGAUUCUAAAGUGUGCUCAAUUACCAUAUCGUUCUGCUCGAUUUACCGUGCAAUUACAACUCGCUCACAAAAUCCUGGUAGCGAUCGUCGAAGCGAGGGGGAGAAAAUCCCAGCGGGAUUUCACAAUGCGCGCAGGAUGCGCUCGAGAAGGAGGAGGAGAAGGAGGAGGAAGAGUCGUCUCGUCUCUCCUCACCGGCUUCGCAUUCAAUUUCCUUCUUUGGCAGGAGUUUACAGAGCCGGCCGCGUUAUGUCGAGCAUAUUAAUAGGCUAGCCCUGUGCACAUGCUAACCACGUAGAGGAAGGACGACGUAGCGCCGCCGCUAAAUACUCUCGUAUACAUGAACGGGCGGCGUCUACGGGUUGGGGGGUCGGCGUCGACCCGCCGCCAACGCUUUGCUGCGCCAUUUAAUUACGCGGUAUAGGAAGGAGCGUAACUCGGGCAAUAAUAACAUUUUUUAAACCGUGGAAUGGAUUAUUUAACGUCUCGCGAGGUGGAUUUAUCGUGUGGCCGGGUGAGAUUUAAUUAUUCUUCUUAUUUCUCUUUCUUUGUAAUUUGCGAAUGUAAUUUAUUUUAUCGAGCAAAUUCUUCUGCGUUAAACUUUUCCUCGGAUAUACGAUUUAUUUGAUAUGCGUGGGGCGACGACGCGUUGAUGAGAGGAGAGUUCGGGCGAGAGUGUUUAUUUGGCGAGGGAAAUAUGAUUUAUUUUUUCGAACGCGAGAUUUUUUUCUUGUUCUUCUUUUCGAGAGAUAUACUUCAUUCUUGAUGAAAGGAUUUUAUGCGAUUAAUAGGUGCGUAGCGAUGGAAGCGUUUUUCUUGGUAAUGUUUUCUCGGUUCUCUUUUUAUAUUCCGUUCGUGCUUCUUCCUUGUUUUGGGAACGAAAUGCUUAUUGAGUUGUUCGAAAAAUUCAAAGACAAUUUAAUAAUGUACGCAUCGUUUGUUUCGGCGGCUUUUAUGUAUUUAUUAGUUUUGUUCUGUUUCCUUUGCGAAUUUUACUUGGAAUUUUUUCGCGAAUUUUUAUGCGUAUUCUUUCCAGUUUAUUAUAAAUUACAAAAUUUUUACAAUAUUACGUUUGACAAACAGAAUUUUCAAAACAUAUAUAGUAGAAAUUAAUAUUAUAAUAAUUAAUAGUUAAAAGUGAAAUUUUAAUUAAAUUUAUUAUUCAUCGAGUAACUCUUUGCGCCGCAACUAUUAUAAGAAAAAUUGCAAAAACUUACGCAAAGAGUGAACGCAGUAAUAAAAACUGUUAACCGCUGAGUAAAAUUUGAAUACAUCGCAAGAGGUACUUCGACGAUGAAAUUCGCUGACUAUGAAUAUGCACGUUUACAGGCAAAGUAUUUUACAAUUAAUAUUUUUGCACCAGUAGAGAAUUCCUAGUUCCUUCAAAAACUGCAUUUUAUUUCCGAGGUGUGCGAGGUAUUUUGCCAAAUUUUCUUACCGCAAAUGUUGUUCCAACAAUUUCUACAUCCUUAUACAUCCUUCUAACAUCACUUCUUCUUAUCCUCAUCUCCAACACUGAUAUCUCUUAAAUCCUAUUACAUCCUGCACGUAUAUUUCUAAAGAGAUAUCUAUCCGAAAAUUAACCCAUUAAUCCGAAUGAAUAAAACCCACAAACGAGAAUUAAAAAAAAUUCCAAAACGGAUAAAGUUGAAAAAAGAACCGACCAUCAUUCAUCCUACCGAUACCUACACGAUCACCCCCGUCAAAUACGAAAAAAAAAAAAAAGUGCCAAAAAUUUCCAACGCCGCGUGGCCAACACUUGGUACACAGAUAUCGAAUAAAAAAAAAGCGUGUGGAAAAAGAAAAAAAGAUUUUCACGAGCGCGUCGAACACGGGGGGCAAACGAUCGACUCCGUCACGCUCCUUCCUUUUAAGCGAACGCGCUUACGAGUCAAUGGGUCAAUCGAGCGAUGAUCGAGCCGGUUGUAACAUCAUCCGCAACGUUGCACGCGUUAGAAACGCGUGGCGGCUUCGGGAUGCGUUGCUGCACCCGGCUGCGGAUGUGCAUUCAUCGCGUGCAUUAUUGCCGCGUGGGUGGGGACACGGGCUAUGAAUAGAGGGCAAGUUUAAGGCUACGAUGGAGCGAGUGUUGACGCGCUACGCUGCCUCGACAGAUUUACGCGCAAAUGCUCCCUUCGCGGUUGAACAGGGUGUGAGAAAGCCCUCGGUUUUCCACGCUUAGGUUCAACCUAAAAAGGCUCGGUAAACUUUUGACACGGGUUCGCUUUUGAAAAAUUAAAAUCGAAAUCGCGCGUAUUUGAUUGAGCAUAUUUCUCUGAAGAUUUUUUAAGUAAUAUCUUAGGUGGAUUGUUCGAUGAUUGAAAUUGAGUUUGAAAUUGUAAGUAGUGGUGUCGAGAGUAAUUUGUUUGAUUUGAGAAAAAAGUUAGAGAGGAGGAAUUGUUGUUCCGUUAAAUUCUCUGAUAAAUUUCUUAAAUUCUUGAAGGGAUGGCAUUUCCAAUUUUGUUAAAAAAUUUAUGAAAAUAUUCGAAGCAAGAAGUUUAAAGAAAGGCACGAGAAAUUGUAUACUUAGUUUAAUGGAAGUGUUAAUCUGUUAAUCGAUAUCUCAUCUCUUUAAAAUUCAGUACUGUCUGAAGACAAGCUUGCUUCGUUUACCUUCCAGUUCAUCCCAUUGAAGUUUCUAUACGUUUUUUUUUCGAACGGAAACAGGUGAUACGAAAAGAUUAGUAGAGCCAGGCACUCGAUCAGGAAGAUGGAUCGAUCAAAUAAAAAAAGCUAUGAAAGAAGCAAGGCUGUUACUUGUAAGCUCGCUUUGAACCAAAUGGUUCAUCCAAAAAACGAUAGCUUUUUAUCAUAGUCUUCUCCGAAUUUUUAUUCCGCACUGAUAAUAAUAUUAUUAAUAAAUAAUUCUUUAUUAUUCUCUUUGGAAGAAUUUUUUCAGAAUUUCUAAGUAAGAAUAUAAUACGGAAUAAAUUAUGAGAAAAUUCUUUGUGAAAAAUAUACAAUUUUUCAAAUCUGAAAGAAGAAUUAAAGUAACGUUGCAAGCAUCUUUAAAACUCACGGAAAGAAAGAUUUGUACGGUGUUAAGGAGAAGCAAUACGAGGAGAGCAAAGAGAUAAGAGUUAGACAGUAAUGUCUCGUGGUAGCAGAAUGUCAGGAACGUGCCAUAGGUUUCGGAGACGCUGAAGCGACGAACUUUGUCCCCACGGUCCAGCUUGUUAAUAGCGAUCCAUCGAGCUUUCCAUGGGGGUUGUUUGAAACUUUAACUAGUUUCUACUUGCUCCGUAGUCGAAGCUGCAACCAUAUGAGAGUAUAUAACGAUAUCUCUUUAUAAAUUGAUAGAUUUAUAUAAAUCCGAUAUAAAUGAUCCGUGUGAUUAUAUUGAGACCAGAGAUAAACGAAUAUUCAUAAAUAAAUAACAAACAUCCAUAAGUAAAUAAAUAAUUAUACGAAUAUGCAUUACAGAUUGCAUAUCAUUAAUUUACGAUGAGAUUAUUUCGAGCUCUAUUUAUUUAUUAUUCGAGGUGAUGAAAAACAUUUGGUUUCUGUAUUUGUUCCACAGAAAAUGUUAAUCUUCGCUCGAAUAAAUAUUCCAUCGAUAUCUUUUUCUAAAAAGAUUUGAUUAAUUAUAAUAUUUGCUGGAGAUUUAACAAUUUUAUUUCAAAAACGAAAUUUACAUAAAUUUUGAAAAAUAUUUAUUUGUCAAUUAACAUAUUAUUGAUUGUAAUUUUUAAUAAUUAAUAAAUUAAUAAUUUGUUUUCGUUGAAAAAUUACAAAAUUGAAUUUUACUAUUUGUAAAAUUAAAAUUGUUGAAAUAACAAGGAAAUUCUGCAUCCCGGAUAAAUAUCAAGGUAUCGCAGAAUUUUUUAUCGUUCAAAAAUUUAGAAGGGAAGAAUUUGAACAUGAACAAGAAAUAACCAUAGAAGAUGAGAAAAUAUAUAUGUACCUGGCUAUGUAUCGAGUUUUACACUAUACUGGCGAGAAUGUACUUGCACCUGAGCCAAUUUGCACAUCAAGAAUUUAUGGCUUCCUUGCUAAUGAAAGGCUCGCUACACAUUUUCUUCUGGAGGAAUCAAAAAAUAAGAAGGAAGGAUGUAAUAAAGGAUUUUACAUUUUAAUCGAACAAUAUGUUUUUUUUCGUUUUUUUUCCAUCGGCCAACAGCUGGGAAUCGGGGCACACGUGCUAGCAACGACGCGAGACUGUUCCACUGGCAGAGUUGGUCGAGGACAAUCACCAGGAUAUACGCGGGAGUCGUCAGCUAGAUGGCGUCACUAACGAGUUCACACAAUUCCCGUAUCACGGCCAUAUAUAUUCCAACAACCGAUCUUUGCCCAAAAAUAACCACGAGGCGAAAUCUAAAAACCGAGGCGAACGAAUCGCGCGUAAACGCGAUCUCAUCAUCGGCAAGCAUUCCCGGAAACAGAUCUGCAAACAUACACCGUUUCAUGUCCGAUCAUAUCUCACAAUUCACCACGUAUGCCCUGACCACCACCGCUACCAUCACCAGCUACAGGCAGUUGCGCAUAAUUGGGAAUCGAUGGGAGCGAAAGCAACCGGUCGUGAAACGAACGAACCGCGAGGAUGAGCGGGCAAAGAGGGUGGGUUGGGUGGAUGACAAUGCAGAAGAGACGAGGAGGGAGAGAGAGGGGGGGAUCGCUUAGAUUUAAGUGACAUGGAGCAUGGCACAAUGGUGCUGAUUGCCGAAAUUAGCUGGCGCAGCCUCUGGCAACGGGCGACGCGGCUCACGAGGCUCGUUGCAGAGAUGGUGGUGGUUAGGAAAGAAGAGAAAGAAGAGAGAGAGCGUGGAAAAGAGAAGGAUCGAUGGGAGAGGAACGGGAGAUGCAGGAGGAGGGAGCGAGACGGACAGAUUUGUAGGACGAAGUUCCGCGUGGUUGGUAUGGAUUACGGAGACAAUUGCGACUUCCUCUCUGCAACGCAGACGUUACGUGUUUGCUGCGAGCAACGUCCCGAGAGUUGUUUAAAAAUCGGCUCGAUUUUUCAAAGUGGCGAGGGGAGGAGAGGAAGCAACGUGACGUGAACGAAGUAAGGGAUAUUAGAUUCUAAAAUUUAAAAGAAUAUACGAAAGAAACGUCAACGUUAUUGAUUAAAAUUAAUCCUUCAUGAGCCUCAUGAAUCUCAACUAACCAGAUACAUUGAAUCAUAUGAUGCGUAAUGAUUAAAUUUUAUCACACGAAAAGAUAUUUUUAUUAUGUUAUUUUGUAAUGCAUCAGAGAGUAUUUAAACACGACAACUUGUCAAAUCCAAAAAUAUAUUCUUUUUAAAAAAUAUAUGGAAUAAAUCCACAUAAAUCACAUUUGUAAAAAAAAAAAAACUAAUGUUACGAAAACCGAUAUUUUUUAAAAGAUAUCAAAAAUAUUAUUCAAUAUCAAAAACCAUAUAAAUAUAAAUAUAUAUAUAUAUACAUAUAUAGGAAGAUAAUACGAGGCUGGCAAUUUUUUAUAUUUUUAUAUCUUCCUCUCUAAAAACUAACAAUAUGACAGAUCACACGAUAUAUUCAUCGUUCCAUCAACUCACCCAUUCUACACAUAAAUAUCGUAGUAAAAAAAUAAUUAAACAUACAUAAUCACGUUUCUAUCUAUUAAAAAAAAUACUAAUUUUAACGAGACGAACUCGUGCAUUUCGAAACCAAUUCGACUUAAAUUAUUCCAUUCGUUCUCCCCGCUCUCUCUCCCUCUCUCUCUUUCUUUUUCUCUCUCGAGAGAAAUUGAAUAGACGCAAGCAAGUUAACUACGAAGCCUCGAAGGUGUCUAGAGCACUACGCGACACUUCCAAAGGAGCGUGAAUCGCAAUGUUUUUAAGGUCCCUGUCUGUCGAGUGGGGGUGCACCUCGUGAACGUGAUGUCACGCCUGUGAAAACUCCUUCGUAAAUUCUUUUACCCCUUUCGAGUCGAGCUUUAUGGCGCAAUCACGUAGCACUGACACAGGCGAGGAGAAGACUAAAGGGCGAAAAAAAGGUGCGGCGAAGGGACACUCCUUUCGGAAGGACCAGACAGAAAUUCCCCGAUGGUAAAUUGAAUUACGAUAAAGUUUUCCUUUCCUUCGAACGUGACUGAUCUAUCGCGAAAUUCGCUUGACGAAUUUUCUGAUUUAGAACGAGGAAUUGUUCACUGGAGGAAUUGCUAUCUUCCUUUCGAUUGCUUGUAUAACAGGAGAGAAUACGUCUAAAAAUAUAUAUAUUUCUGCAUACUUUUUCUUAUAAUUAUAUCGUAUAAUCAAUAAGCUGUGGAAAAGAGAAUGUUAUAUAUUUUUCUCUGUCUGCGGUAUAAAAAUGAAAAGAAAAAGAAAUUCACUUUAAAAAUAUACUUUAUUGACAAUUUAAAGAAAUAUGAAUUUCCGUGUUCUCGAUGGAAGUUUAAAAAUAACACGUACAAGAAAAUGAUAAACGUUUAAUUAAGAAGAAUUCACACAAGGAAAGAAGAUUAAGCAGAAUGAGAAGGGGGGGAAAAAUGGAUAGAGGAUCCUUGAAAGAA
This is a long non-coding RNA of Apis cerana (Asiatic honeybee), 11055 nucleotides long. RefSeq lists it as uncharacterized. The record is from RefSeq and is a predicted model, not a curated record. NCBI's taxonomy places the organism in Eukaryota, Metazoa, Arthropoda, Insecta, Hymenoptera, Apidae.